UUUGGUGAUGUUAGCCACAGGGAUACACCUAGUUACUUUUCGAACCUAGUAGUUAAGUCUGUGUACGCUGAAGAUACUUAGUAAUAGGGAAAAUAGGUAGUUGCCAAAC
Streptobacillus moniliformis DSM 12112 is the source of this 109-nucleotide ribosomal RNA. Lineage: Bacteria; Fusobacteriati; Fusobacteriota; Fusobacteriia; Fusobacteriales; Leptotrichiaceae. The record is from Rfam.